Long non-coding RNA from Siniperca chuatsi (mandarin fish), 2053 nucleotides. RefSeq lists it as uncharacterized. The record is from RefSeq and is a predicted model, not a curated record. Lineage: Eukaryota; Metazoa; Chordata; Actinopteri; Centrarchiformes; Sinipercidae. The transcript is spliced from 2 exons.
AACACCAGUGUUGGACCUCACUGGUGCUCUGGUGUCUGAAUGGGAGCAAAUCCCUGCAGCAGGUCCAACAUCUGCUGGAAAGCCUGAAACCAGAAGAGUGGAGGCUGAUGGAGCAGCAGGUUAAUGAACACGGUGUCACCAUCACAUGUUACACUGUCACGUAUGGUCAGCCGUCCACAUACUUUUGGGCAUGUGAUGUGUCUGCAUAAACCAGGUCAAAGGAAACCUUCAGUCUGAGAGUUGCUGAAACUGAGCAGCCAGGGCUAAAUGAGAACAGAAAAUAUUUGAUCGCAGAAAAAUCACAGAAUAAAUUUAUUUCUCUAUAAUUAUUAUUAUUGGCAGAAAGCAUCAAAUAUGAGCACGUUGGUGCUAUACAGUGUAGUGCAGAGCUGCCUUUAUCGUGUCAGGCCGUACUACAGGCUUCAGUGCAGCUCCCAACCUUCAAUAAAUGAGCACAAACCAGUUGAGACACCGUGAGCCUGGAGUCAGUAAUAAUAACUUCUUACUCAUCAAGUUAUUUGCUGCUAACAUCCUCAUCACUAAUAACUGACAGAAGUGGUGGACAAAACUACACAAAUUAGACCUAAAAUGAUCCUUUAAUGUAAUUAUAUUACAUUAAAAUACAUCUAACUUCUCUUAAGUCCCUCAAACACUGCAGGAGAACGUAUGUUGGCUGACAGGGCGACACGUAUUUCUUUUUAAAUGAUAUUGUGCACUGAGGUCUGAAUGAAAUCCUCAUCAGUGUUCAGACAGACUUUGCAGAUUUAAAGUGACCUCAGGAGGUUGAAGACAAAGACUGUUGUGUUUCCGUGUCCGCUUUGUGUUCAAAUCACAAGAGUCAACAUUUAUACUGAAUACAAGGAAGGUCAGGGUUAUUUUAAUAUUUAAGAUGAAAUAAAUACAUGACAAAAAUAAAUAAAUGAAUAAAUAGAGAGAAACGUACACAUUAAUAUUAGUUAUGCAUACAUAUGAACAUCUCUCGGGUUUAUCACGCUGUAAAAAUUAUAUUUUUUAAAAGUAUAACUCAUUGUUUGUCAUUCUGUGGAGGUGUUUCUGUCUGCGAUCUGAUUGGCUGCUGCUGCUUCUGGAAAAUCUUCUGCCUCACUGUUUCCACAGGAUGUGGUCGCUCGAUGAAGACGAGCUGCACAAAGACGCCUGUGUCACAGACGAAGGCGGCGUUGGUUUCUGCCUCAAAGCCUGCUGGGACAGGAUGUGUGUGCGUGUGGGCGGGGAAAUCGAGGUCAGGCGGUGCUGAGGUGAAGACGCAUCAUCAGCUUCACCGCCGACAGGAAGUCAGCAGCCGAAUGUGCAUGAGGUUCAAAAGGAAGAAACGCGGCUGCAGCAGCAUGAAGCUUUGAGGUCAGAAUCUGACAAACAUCCGUCAGCAGACACAGAAGAAGAAAAACACGACCCCAGAAUAUUUCCAACACGUGGUGGAAAGAAACCUGCAGCUGAAAGGGUUUCAAAACUUUCAGGAACUUUGUACCUGUAAGAAAAUAAUAAUACGUACAAAACAUAUGAAUAGAUUUUAAAAUAUAUAUGUUAUAUAUGUGUUUAUACAGCAGCCUACACCUAUGGCUGCAGGAAGAGUUAUAGUUGUUAACAAAUACAUUAAUAAACACUUGUAUCUGCUUACAGCUACGUAGUCUGUGAGAAACCAUUUAUUACAUGAUUAUACACUGAUUAUAAAUGAUAAAUAAGGGGACUUUAAGUAAAAUGUUCCCAAAUAUAUAGACAUAAGAAAGCUUACAUACUUUAAUUUCAAACAUCUACAGUAUAAGCAUCAGGACUGUCCUCAUACUUUUGGCCAUAUACUGUGUAUUUAAUGACAACAGAGGAACAAAUAAACAAUAAAUAAAAUUACUGCAGUUCAUCAGAAUGGGGAGUUUUUUAUUAUAUAUUUAACAUAAGAGAUUUGACACUUUAUUUUCAUGUGAUAUUUAGAUUUGGACUGUCUGCAUGUGUUCAGUCUUACACUGUUAAUCAUCACACAGUGUUAAUAAAAACAUGGAGUUUCAAUAAAGACCUCACGUAUAUUUGUACAGUAUAUUUA